UCCCCGGUGGCUCAGACGGUAAAGCGUCUGUCUACAAUGCAGCAGACCCAGGUUCGAGCCCUGGGUUGGGAA
Molecule: transfer RNA, 72 nt
Filed under: Bos taurus (domestic cattle)
Lineage: Eukaryota; Metazoa; Chordata; Mammalia; Artiodactyla; Bovidae
Also listed under: 2 other names
Rfam family: tRNA
About the family: Transfer RNA (tRNA) molecules are approximately 80 nucleotides in length. Their secondary structure includes four short double-helical elements and three loops (D, anti-codon, and T loops).
Source: Rfam by way of RNAcentral